Molecule: ribosomal RNA, 114 nt
Filed under: Serinus canaria (Common canary)
Lineage: Eukaryota; Metazoa; Chordata; Aves; Passeriformes; Fringillidae
Source: RNAcentral
UUCUGCAGCUGUGACACCUGUAACUGUGUCAGUGUAAGAGCAAAGCCAAGCAAAAGCUGGUAGUACCAGUAGUUGAAUGGGAGACCUCAAAGGAAAGCACCAGUGUUGCUGAAA